UACGUAGGGUGCAAGCGUUGUCCGGAAUUAUUGGGCGUAAAGAGCUCGUAGGCGGUUUGUCGCGUCUGCUGUGAAAACCCGAGGCUCAACCUCGGGCCUGCAGUGGGUACGGGCAGACUAGAGUGCGGUAGGGGAGAUUGGAAUUCCCGGUGUAGCGGUGAAAUGCGCAGAUAUCAGGAGGAACACCGGUGGCGAAGGCGGGUCUCUGGGCCGUAACUGACGCUGAGGAGCGAAAGCGUGGGGAGCGAACAGG
This 253-nucleotide ribosomal RNA is filed under the name uncultured bacterium. RNAcentral describes it as "partial 16S ribosomal RNA". It matches the Rfam family "Bacterial small subunit ribosomal RNA", at positions 524 to 776 of the family's 1533-position model. The record is from RNAcentral.